Molecule: ribosomal RNA, 486 nt
Filed under: uncultured bacterium
Lineage: Bacteria
Description: bacterial SSU rRNA
Rfam family: Bacterial small subunit ribosomal RNA
Source: RNAcentral
AGUGAACGCUGGCGGCAGGCCUAAUACAUGCAAGUCGAACGGCAGCACAGCAGAGCUUGCUCUGUGGGUGGCGAGUGGCGGACGGGUGAGGAAUACAUGGGAAUCUGCCCAGUCGUGGGGGAUAACGUAGGGAAACUUACGCUAAUACCGCAUGCGCCCUUCGGGGGAAAGCCGGGGACCUUCGGGCCUGGCGCGAUUGGAUGAGCCCAUGUCGGAUUAGCUAGUUGGCGGGGUAAUGGCCCACCAAGGCGACGAUCCGUAGCUGGUCUGAGAGGAUGAUCAGCCACACUGGAACUGAGACACGGUCCAGACUCCUACGGGAGGCAGCAGUAGGGAAUAUUGGACAAUGGGCGCAAGCCUGAUCCAGCCAUGCCGCGUGAGUGAAGAGGGCCCUCGGGUUGUAAACUUCUGAACUAGCCGAAUAAAAGGCCUGUGGACACACAGGAGAAGAAAGUAGGACUAAGGAAAGUCCCGGACUAACUACGU